This 515-nucleotide ribosomal RNA is filed under the name uncultured bacterium. RNAcentral's name for it is "partial 16S ribosomal RNA". It matches the Rfam family "Bacterial small subunit ribosomal RNA", at positions 28 to 523 of the family's 1533-position model. The record is from RNAcentral.
GAUGAACGCUGGCGGCGUGCCUAAUACAUGCAAGUCGAGCGAAUGGAUUGAAAGCUUGCUCUUAUGAAGUUAGCGGCGGACGGGUGAGUAACACGUGGGUAACCUGCCCAUAAGACUGGGAUAACUCUGGGAAACCGGGGCUAAUACCGGAUAACAUUUUGAACCGCAUGGUUCGAAAUUGAAAGGCGGCUUCGGCUGUCACUUAUGGACGGACCCGCGUCGCAUUAGCUAGUUGGUGAGGUAACGGCUCACCAAGGCAACGAUGCGUAGCCGACCUGAGAGGGUGAUCGGCCACACUGGGACUGAGACACGGCCCAGACUCCUACGGGAGGCAGCAGUAGGGAAUCUUCCGCAAUGGACGAAAGUCUGACGGAGCAACGCCGCGUGAGUGAUGAAGGCUUUCGAGUCGUAAAACUCUGUUGUUAGGGAAGAACAAGUGCUAGUUGAAUAAGCUGGCACCUUGACGGUACCUAACCAGAAAGCCACGGCUAACUACGUGCCAGCCGCCGCCGUAA